RNAcentral lists this ribosomal RNA (432 nucleotides) under uncultured bacterium. Its description in RNAcentral is "partial 16S ribosomal RNA". It matches the Rfam family "Bacterial small subunit ribosomal RNA", at positions 28 to 507 of the family's 1533-position model. The record is from RNAcentral.
GGUGAACGCUGGCGGUAUGCUUAACACAUGCCAGUCGAACGGUCACUUCGGUGAUAGUGGCGGACGGGUGAGUAACGCGUGAGAAUCUGUCUUCAGGUCGGGGACAACAGUUAGAAAUGACUGCUAAUACCGGAUGUGCCUUUGGGUGAAAGAUUUAUUGCCUGAAAAAGAGCUCGCGUCAGAUUAGCUAGUAGGUGGUGUAAGAGACUACCUAGGCUCCGAUCUGUAGCUGGUCUGAGAGGACGAUCAGCCACACUGGAACUGAGACACGGUCCAGACUCCUACGGGAGGCAGCAGUGGGGAAUUUUCCGCAAUGGGCGAAAGCCUGACGGAGCAAUACCGCGUGAGGGACGAAGGCUUUUGGGUCGUAAACCUCUUUUCUCAAGGAAGAUGAUGACGGUACUUGAGGAAUAAGCAUCGGCUAACUCUGUG